This 5443-nucleotide ribosomal RNA is filed under the name Triticum aestivum (bread wheat). RNAcentral's name for it is "partial small subunit ribosomal RNA". The record is from RNAcentral. Lineage: Eukaryota; Viridiplantae; Streptophyta; Magnoliopsida; Poales; Poaceae.
GUCGAUAACCUAUAUGAGACCUACUAGAGUUCCCGUAAUCAGGGUACAAUACGGUUGUGUUUUAAUUAAACCUCCUGCUACGGUUUGGUCAAUCUCUAGGAGUUGCUGCUAACUUAGGAUUCUACUUUCUUCACCAUUCUUUCCUCUAUGAUUUCGAGGAACUCCGUCCAUAUUAAAUAGGACAACGACUAUCACUAACCCAUUCAGGAUAGGUAACACAAGGAUUUUUCCCUCCAUAAUGACAGCAAGGAUUACUAUUUCUACUUAACUAGGGCGUUUCUUAAUAAUGUCCAAUAUCCUACCAUUAACUAAAGGCAUUUAAUUUAUUUCGAUGAUUCUUUCUAGUAAUGGGAAAUGGAAAAUAACUAGUUUACGAUCUUUCUGAUAGGUUUGUGUGUGUAAAGACGAAAGAUCUACCAAUAAGACCAAAGAGAGUCUAUGGACACAGUCGCUUCCUAGUUAGUUUUUUAUGAAAAUGAACGGGAAAGCCAUGAAAACGAAUAUCUGCAUACGGAAAACCAAAUACAUUACGUGGACGAUGGAAAGUUUUCUACGUACUACCGAUAUAAGAGACUGAAAACACUUUUCUAAACACUCCAUAAGUACCUAUUAAAGAGGCAAAUACCUAGGAGAAAACUACUAACGAACUCGUUGGAACUAGCCCAAAACGUCUCUACACUUCUGUGAUCAUAGCAGAACUUAACCCUUUUCACGGUGAAAUACCAAUUACUUCCGUAACAAAACCCCGUAUUCUAAAGACUCUCUCCAUAACUUCAACUAUUUCGAUUUCAACUACGAUAACUUUUCUACGGUACAGGGUUCCUGUAUUUUCCAUAUUCUUCAAAGGAACCAGUACGGUCAAAAAUAUCCUCCAAGUAAUUCCUGAAGAGGUUUUAGAGAUCCGGAGACUGAUUAAAUAACGUUUUUCUAUAAGGAAAACAGAAAUUACUACUAACACAUCUUCUUAAACUUUAUGAAUUCUUUCGAAACUAGUGAAGUGGAUAACAAGUCGGUGGACUAACCUUAAAUGGGAAAUUUUAAUACACACUACGAUCACUAAUACAACAUCCACAACAAGAUCCCGUUUCACAACUAUUCUUUAACUUACAAUAGGUCAUACGAUCAUUUUGAGAACUAUGACGGGUCUCUUUAAUAUGAUGAUGACUAUUUCUUAAGAAUCUUCAACACAAACGUACACUAUUCAAAUCUGGAAUGUAACAACUAAGGUUUCAAUGAUAAGUGUGACUAGUACGACGAUAAUUUAUAGAAUACCUUUUAUUUCUUCGAUUUGGGUUCGAGUAAUCUACCCAAGAGAACGAACUUCUUAAACUAAACGUAUAAUAACUAUCUUUCCCUCGACUCUUGGGGUAACGUCUGUUGAACAGAUCCAAUCUCUUACAAGAACUACUGGGUGACGGAUAACUACUAUCGAAAGGACUACUUGUUAAUCGCCAGUAAUUACGAAGAGCAUGACGAGGAACCAUACGACUAAUACGAUUAAUGUAACAACGAUUUAAAUAUGGUGGAUCAAAGUGUAUGGUCGUUUUCUCUUUCAAGAAAAUACUAAAUUCUGUAAUGAAGACCCUACUGGGUGUGGAAAUAUUUCUUCCUCAUCUACCACAAUAAUCUGCAACACAUGGACUCGUACUUGUCCUUGUCUAGGAUGCGUUCACAGUGAGACUUAGUAUACCUCCUGUGGUGCGACCUCUAUCUUGACGUGUAUUCCAUAACGUUAGACCAAAAAUAACCGGAUGAGAGAAGUUUCUACGAGCAUUCAAACAGAAUAGAACACUACUUACAGUAUCUUAACCAUUAUAAUCAUCUGCAGUUCUUUACGGAUACUUAAUAAGAGAACAAUAACUUGGUAAACUACAAACCCCGAAACUAAUAUACCCUGGAAAAGGAUGGAGAUUACUAAUGUGUGUAUAAAAUCAACAACAACUAAUGCAAUGAUUCACCCAUCUUCGAUAAGGUUGUUCAUCACGACUAGUAUUGUGAAGAUAAUUUUACGAAUUUCUUCAAUAAAAAGACUCCAAACCUCAGGGAUCUAUAGAAUACUGACUACCACCACGUGUAAAAUAAGUACCACGAAAGACAUUCUACGAACGAUUCAUACUACAAUUAGUAUCUUAGCGUAGAGGAAUAGUGGGUGUCGGAUCACCAGUUCAUCUCAACUCGUUAUCUCUCGAGGUUAAUUAAAACGUUUUCUGACAAUUAUCUAGAUCUUUCUUAACAAGGUUCUUUGAACUACUACGUAAUACCCGGAUAUCUUGACGUAUAUUUUUAGGAUACCCAUACAGAGACAUAUUCUACCAAAUACCUUUUCGUACAGUGAAUGGAGAACUUGAACUUGUAUUUCGUAUAACCCGAUAAUUUCUCGAGUUGAUACUGAAGUUUGAACGGCCACUCUUCUCCAAUAAACUAUAAUCGAGUGAACUACUUACCUCUUGGGUUCGGAUACUCUUACGGUUCGAUAAGUUUCUUUUUCAGUUUGCUACCGUACUGUUUUCCUAUGUUUUCGUUCUUAAAUUGCAUCCACUAAUACACAAUAAUAAGUUGAGAGUAAAUUCUAAAAAACGUCCUUUUGAAGAAAGAUUUACCCUUCCAGGAAUGCAAUAGCUCCUCCAGAUAGCAAGGCUACGGUAUUUUUAGUUGUUGAAACUUCCGUGUUCAGGCUCCCACCACUUGCCAGUUUCUUAAUUUGUAAUAUAAAAUCCAUUGGGAUAGUUACAAUUUUGAUUAUAAUAACUCUGGCAUUGGGGCCUCCUUAUGUAUUCCCUGUGAAAGGUCUUGCAAGGUCUGAAGCUUUUUCUUAUCUAGAUCUCGUAGUACUGCAGAGGUUCGCGAGGGUUCCUGUUCAAAAAGCUUUCCAAAUAGUUGGGGAUAGAGCGCCUCCACGACGUUGUGGGAGUUUGGUAACUCUACGCACUCCCCCACGACGUAUAGGCGCUACACCUCCCUGGUUCCGCAUGACCUUCGCACCUAUGUUUCGAGCUUCGGCACCUCGUUGUUCAAAAGUUCACGGUUCCCUACCACCUCUCACCUCAAGUGGUUGUUGGUGUUCGAUCUACGGUUCCAGUAACCCCUCUGGUAGAAGUUCGAAGUUCUCUUUUAGCUCGUGGAGGUUCGGGUCUAGAUACUGGACGUUUUGGUUUUGACACUCAUACUUAUAUCUAAGUUCUCCUACUCAAACCAACGUAUAAACUCCUAGGGCCUCUGAGCUAGUAGGAAGAUACUACCACUCGGAUACGGAACCUUCUACCUGCUGUUCGGAUGUAGUAGUUGUUGAGGAUGAAGUGGGGGAAGCUCCUGUAUUAAUGUACCCAUACCCGUGAGGGGAACCGUUGACGGUUCGAACCCCCUCCACGGGGCCAUAGCAUAGUGGUAGUGUGAGGAUAGAAAUGGCAAAAUAAAUCAAGCUAGGAAAAUCAUCAUAGAACUAGAUCAUCUAACUUCAAAAUCAUAGUUCAUCAAAACUCAAAACGAAACACUAGAGAAAUACAUUAGCUCAGGCACUCGAUAGAUAUUAUUUCUAAUCACAAGUUAGUUCCCGAAACGAUAGAACGAUACUAGAACUCCUUCAUCUUUCUUAUUUUCUCAAGUAUAACUAGAAUACCUAUCAUUACUGAAGUGUGUAUCUUUCAUACUCCGUAUUUUCAACAACUCUUAACUGUUUGCAUCAAAACCAGUAGCAACGUUAAUUAUCCUUCAUUAUUCCUUCCUCUCCAAAAGUGUAUGUUUAUAUGAUAGAACCUGUAGAAAAUACUAACACUCGUGAGUAAUUCAUACUGUACGAUUUUCUCCGCUACAACCUGUUCCUUCUGUUGUAUUACCAAAUACAAAAGAGUGUAUAGUCAAUUUCACAUAACAGUAACUAGAAGGCUUGUACAACUCGAACGGAAAGGGGGAGUACGAUCGGUUUAAGGAACGUGGUUCAUCUCUAUGAUGAACACGAAGGUUUAUAGGAAUUUGGAUCAAAAACGGUACUCUCAGGUGGUAUGGAUGGAUACCUAACUCAUUCUAGGAAGUUCAUUCAACAGUACAACGUCCGUUAUUUUUAACGAGAGAUUUAUACAUACUGAAUAAUCACGUCUCUUUUAUUCGAAAUAUGCUAGACAAUACCUUAGUUAUUUUCACUACCUGACCUAUUAUUUCCAGGUAUAUGUUCACCGUUAUAUUUCACUGCAAGAAAACGUAAUUCUAAAAUAUGUAGGUUGGGAUUUUCGUGUACUGUUGGAGACGAAGUGAGACGCUUCCCGGAUAGAAAAUGAAAUACAAAAAUGAAAUACGAACUCAGUUCCACUAGAAGUGGAAAAGGAAAAAAGAUAAAAUAGGAAACCGUUCGAGGAGCACAAACUUUCUAGAACUAUAUAUAUAGGUUAACCUACAUUCAAUCGUACUUAAUAAUAACAACUGUAGUGGGUUUCCACUUAUGCAACCCUCCGUUGUGUUAUUCGGGGAUAGAAAGAGUCACAGACCGACUUUGAGGUAUUGGUGUUCAUAACGCACUCACAAUAGUUAACAUCUUCUGAUAUACUAUCAACUCAUACACCUGAACGACUUUUCGAGAUAAGAACUGAGAAAGACUACAAUACGAUUUAACGUUAGCGAAGUUACUGAUUCUAAUAUCAAACAAUCAAGGGUUACUUCAAAGACUUGGUAUGAACUGUAACACUUAACUAGCAAUGAACUAGUAUUCGUUCGUAUACUGUUUUAGAUAAAUACAACGACAAUAUUCUUAUUAGUACUACGGGAGUACAGGCAUAAAAUAAAAAUAGCUGUGGAGAUAGAGAUGUGUACACCUGUACAAAAAGCUAAAACCAAAGGCGAACUCCUGUUCGCUCCAGAUUCGAACCCCCUCAACUAUGCAGGUAAAACGUAGUACGAAAAUAUAGUUAUAAAUAACGUAUUACCCGACAAUAAUGUGUAAUAUAGAAUUAUGAAUACCGAUAAGAGAGAAUAAAAUGUUCCAAAUGGUACUUCUCCCCCUUACGACCGUCGACCUUAAGACCGACCUUUUCCUCGUUUAUAACCUUUGUAUAAGACGUGACGAGGUUUUUAGGACUUUGAGGUACCUUCAAUAAAAACCUUAAUUAUUCUUAAUAACUCGCUUCUUUGAUGGUCUCCCCCGGGUGUGGGUCCGGUCCUCCCACCCCCGCGCGGGUGGGGAUGACCCGUGCGGGGGACAGAGGACCCGGGGGACCACCGGGAGGCCACGGGUAGAAGACGAUAUACUUCCGAAAAUGGGACCUUUUUUAGUCUUCGUUCGAAUGUCCUACUUUGAGGUGGCGGUGCUCCACUUUGGAACCGUCUUGGUUAGAUCUCGAGGCCGUCUCGACAAGACGGCCCCUUUGAAGGGAGGCCCUCCCCCUUUAGUAGUGGUAGCAGUAGUGGUUGCUAGGAGAGUAGCCCUCCCCCAGUUAGAGGUAGUUGUAGAAGUGGU